Molecule: microRNA precursor, 96 nt
Filed under: Nicotiana sylvestris (wood tobacco)
Lineage: Eukaryota; Viridiplantae; Streptophyta; Magnoliopsida; Solanales; Solanaceae
Description: MIR6152 microRNA precursor family
Rfam family: MIR6152 microRNA precursor family
Source: Rfam by way of RNAcentral
UGGACAUAUUAUUGUAUUCGACUGUAUUUACGGCGUGAAACAUGGGAUUACACUAUUUUUAAAUGGAAAGUUAAUCAAUUAACAUAAUAGACUCCU